Molecule: long non-coding RNA, 976 nt
Filed under: Citrus x clementina
Lineage: Eukaryota; Viridiplantae; Streptophyta; Magnoliopsida; Sapindales; Rutaceae
Description: Citrus clementina (C. clementina) long non-coding RNA (CCLE_LNC006705)
Source: RNAcentral
UUGAGAUUGCUUUUAAUAAAAAGAAAGUUUUUUGAAACAUGAAAAUGCAUCAUAAAACACUUCCUAAGAAAUCCCACGCCGCCGCGCGCAUUGGAUUGUAGCUUUUAUGUAUGUGCUUCAAAUGUUCAAUGUUUUUCUAUGUAUAAAUAUUCAAGAAGAAGCCAGUGGCUGUAUAAUUGUUCAUAUAAAUGAGUUCUGAUUAUUUAAAAGAGCUUGAUUUAGUACGCGCUAUCGCAUAUAUUAUGACAUACAAUAAUAUGAAUAAUAAGUUUUUAUUUGAAGAACUUUGCCGUGAGAUAUACCGUUCUCAAUGAAUACUCAUCAUAUGCAUUGUCAUGCACCAUAAUGUGCGUAAUGGCACGUAUCAGAUCUCAUCCCGUAAUUUAAAUUUAUUUAUUUGUUUGUUUAAUAAAUUAUGAUCAUCGAAACAUUUUUUUUUUUUGAGAAGGAUCAUCGAAACAUUACCUAUAGAUUAUAUAGACUAUUAUAUUAUUUUAUUGUCGCAUAAGAUUCAUAUGGAUUUUAUAUAAUUGGUGAAACAAGAUUAUAACUUUUUGAACUAUCUGUGAAUGAGUUUACAAACCUUGGUUAGUUGUGUGUGAAAAAUCUAGAAAUUGUUUACGUAAGACUAAGUUGGCGCUUACUAGAUUAAUCAAUUUAAUUAUUGGGCAGUUGCGAUGAAAAGAUAAACAAUUUAAUUAAGUUCGUUGUUGUUGCAUUUUUUGAUCCCUCUAUUUUUGUAUAUUUUGCGCAGUCUUGGUAGCUUAGUGGAUUCCUUAGAUGGUCAAAAUGUAAUUAGGUAGUGUUUACUUGUUGGAGUGGGAGUGUGGAGUGUGGAUUCCUCCCACUCCAGUGUUUACUUACCUUAAAAAAAGGGGGAGUGGGAGUGAAAAUCCAUGGGUCCCACUCAAUUUUGGAGUGGGGAGUGGGAUUCUCAGUUUCCCACUCCCAUGGGAGGAGGUGGGAGUGGGAAUCC